RNAcentral lists this ribosomal RNA (292 nucleotides) under uncultured bacterium. RNAcentral describes it as "partial 16S ribosomal RNA". It matches the Rfam family "Bacterial small subunit ribosomal RNA", at positions 505 to 796 of the family's 1533-position model. The record is from RNAcentral.
GUGCCAGCCGCCGCGGUAAUACGGAGGGGACUAGCGUUGUUCGGAAUUACUGGGCGUAAAGCGCGCGUAGGCGGAUUAGCAAGUUGGGGGUGAAAUCCCGGGGCUCAACCCCGGAACUGCCUUCAAAACUGCUAGUCUAGAGUUCGAGAGAGGUGAGUGGAAUUGUGAGUGUAGAGGUGAAAUUCGUAGAUAUUCACAGGAACACCAGUGGCGAAGGCGGCUCACUGGCUCGAUACUGACGCUGAGGUGCGAAAGUGUGGGGAGCAAACAGGAUUAGAUACCCGGGUAGUCC